RNAcentral lists this ribosomal RNA (1086 nucleotides) under uncultured bacterium. Its description in RNAcentral is "bacterial SSU rRNA". It matches the Rfam family "Bacterial small subunit ribosomal RNA", at positions 208 to 1312 of the family's 1533-position model. The record is from RNAcentral.
AGUUUAUGUGCUGAAAGAUGGUCUCGCGUCUGAUUAGCUAGAUGGCGGGGUAACGGCCCACCAUGGCGACGAUCAGUAGCCGGUCUGAGAGGAUGAACGGCCACAUUGGGACUGAGAUACGGCCCAGACUCCUACGGGAGGCAGCAGUGGGGAAUAUUGGGCAAUGGGCGAAAGCCUGACCCAGCAACGCCGCGUGAAGGAAGAAGGCCCUCGGGUUGUAAACUUCUUUUACCAGGGACGAAGAAAGUGACGGUACCUGGAGAAAAAGCAACGGCUAACUACGUGCCAGCAGCCGCGGUAAUACGUAGGUUGCAAGCGUUGUCCGGAUUUACUGGGUGUAAAGGGCGUGUAGGCGGAGAUGCAAGUUGGGAGUGAAAUCCCGGGGCUCAACCCCGGAACUGCUUUCAAAACUGUAUCCCUUGAGUGUCGGAGAGGCAAGCGGAAUUCCUAGUGUAGCGGUGAAAUGCGUAGAUAUUAGGAGGAACACCAGUGGCGAAGGCGGCUUGCUGGACGAUAACUGACGCUGAGGCGCGAAAGCGUGGGGAGCAAACAGGAUUAGAUACCCUGGUAGUCCACGCUGUAAACGAUGAAUACUAGGUGUGGGAGGACUGACCCCUUCCGUGCCGCAGUUAACACAAUAAGUAUUCCACCUGGGGAGUACGACCGCAAGGUUGAAACUCAAAGGAAUUGACGGGGGCCCGCACAAGCAGUGGAUUAUGUGGUUUAAUUCGACGCAACGCGAAGAACCUUACCAGGAUUUGACAUCCAACUAACGAAGUAGAGAUACAUUAGGUGCCCUUCGGGGAAAGUUGAGACAGGUGGUGCAUGGUUGUCGUCAGCUCGUGUCGUGAGAUGUUGGGUUAAGUCCCGCAACGAGCGCAACCCCUAUUGUUAGUUGCUACGAAAGAGCACUCUAGCGAGACUGCCGUUGACAAAACGGAGGAAGGCGGGGACGACGUCAAAUCAUCAUGCCCCUUAUGUCCUGGGCUACACACGUAAUACAAUGGUGGUUAACAGAGGGAAGCAAAGCCGCGAGGCAGACCAAAUCCCUAAAAGCCAUCUCAGUUCGGAUUGCAGGCUGCUAGY